RNA transcript from Camelus dromedarius (Arabian camel), 3919 nucleotides. It is a transcript of the gene named GDP-fucose protein O-fucosyltransferase 2-like, with no coding region annotated. NCBI's taxonomy places the organism in Eukaryota, Metazoa, Chordata, Mammalia, Artiodactyla, Camelidae. The transcript has 3 exons. The record is from RefSeq and is a predicted model, not a curated record.
UGGUGGUCAUUUAACUGGGGCCAGGUGGUCUUUGUUCUGGUUCCGAUCUGAACAUCGGGCCAUCUUACUUUGGGCUUGUCGGUCUGCUUAGGGGCCCUGCUCAUGUUUCCUACACUGCAGGUGAAUUUGGUUUUUCCAUAGUUUUUUCGGGAAGUCAAUUUGAAGUGUAUGAGCUCUAUGUCCCCUCCCCUCUGAAAACCCUGGCCUCCUGGUGAGAUGCAGCGGUGACAAGGAGGCCACUGCCACAGAGGCCCUUGUCCCAGAAAGAGUCGCUCGCUGUGCAGUCAGGGCUGUUCUUACCUGUAGGAAAACACGAUGUGUGUGUAGCAUGGGCCACGUGCUGGAGAAGAUAUGUAACUGCCCAUCCAGUAUAAUUUGGUCCUGCUCAAGCUACCCAUUUUAAAUUUUGUAAGAGGGAAGAGUUCAAGAUUUUCUUUGAAUAAAGGUAUUUAGAGCUUAUCAAUUUUUUUUAAAUUGAAAUGUGUUUGAUUUACAAUGUUUUGUUAGUUUCAGUUAUACAGCUGUUUUGUUAGUUUCAGGUAUGCAGCAUAGUGAUUCAGUUGUACAUAUACAUAGUCUAUUCUUUUUCAGGUUCUUUUCCAUUAUAGGUUGCAAGAUACUGAAUAUUCUUCCCUGUGUUCUACAGUGAAUCCUUGUCGUUUGUCUGUUUUACAUAUAGUAAUUUGUAUCUGUUAAUCCCAAACUCCUAAGUUUGUUUUAUAAGUCUGUGAGUCUGUUUUUUGUUUUAUAGAUAAGUCCAUUUGUAUCAUUUUUUUAAAAAUUCCACAUAUAAAUGAUAUCAUAUGAUACUUGUCUUUGUCUAACUUAUUUCACUUAGUGAGAUAAUCUCCAGUUCCAUCCAUGUUGCUGUAAAUGGCCUUAUUUCCUUCUUUGUUAUGACUGAGUAAUAUUCUGUUAUAUCUAAAUACCGCAUCUUUAUCCAGUCAUCUGUCAGUGAAUGUUUAGGUUGCUUCUAUGUCUUGGCCAUUGUAAACAGUGCUCCUGUGAAAAUUGGGGUGCAGAUAUCUUUUGGAAUGAAGGUUCCCUCUGGUUAUAUGCCCAGGAGUGGGAUUGCUGGAUUAGGUAAUAAGCCUUUUUUUUUUUUUUUUUUGUCUUUUGAGGAAUCUCCAUACUGUUUUCCACAGUGGCUGCAACAAACUACAUUCCCACCAACAAUGUAGGAGGGUUUCCUUUCCUCCACAGCCUCUCCGGCAUUUAUGGUUUGUGGACUUUUGAAUGAUGGCCAUUCUGACUGGUGUGAGAUGAUAACAUUGUAGUUUUGAGUUGCAUUUCUCUGAUAAUUGAACGAUAUUAAGCAUUUUUUAUAUGCCUAUUGGCCAUCUGUGUGUCUUCAUUGGAGAAUUGCUUGUUUAGUUGUUCUGCCCAUUUUUGGAUUUGGUUGUUUAUUUUUUUCUUAUUAAGUUGUAUGGACUAUUUAUAUAGUCUAGAAAUUAAGCCAUGGUCAGUCUCAUCUUUUGCAAAUAUUUUCUCCCAUUCCAUAGGUUGUCUUUUAGUUUUACUUAUGGUUUCUAUUGCUGUGCAAAAGUUUAUAAGUUUAAUUAGGUCUCAUUUAUUUAUUUUGGCUUUUAUUUCUGUUGCUUGGGUUACUUAGAUUGCCCUACGAAAACAUUGCUGAGAUGUAUGUCAAAUAAUGUUUUGCCUAUGUUUUCUUGUGAGAAGUUUAUAGUGUCGUGUGUAAUAUUUAAGUCUUUAAGCCAUUUUGAGUUUGUUUCUUUUUGGUUUUUUUGCGACUCUAAUGUAUGCUUUUGAUUUGUGGUUACCUUAUUCUUCAAAUAUAUCAGCCCAUUACUAUAUCUAUUUCCUUUAGACUGAUAAUCACGUAGGCUCCAACACAUCCUAAGAAUAACGAAGAAAAAAAAGAAAGAAAAAAAUCUACAUUUUCUUGCUCCCCUCUCCCAUUCCCAACUCUUUUUAUUUUGAUGUCCUUUUUCAUUUUUACAUCUUUAUGUUUAUUCUCUUGCAACUCGUUAUUGCAUUUCCAACUAUGGUUUUCCUGUUUCUAUAGCAUCCUGCUUCCUUUCUGUUUAGAAUAGAACUUUUUAAUGUCUCUGUUAGGUUCAAUAUUGCUGAGUUAUCUCACCUCCCCCUCCCCCCUUCCCCCCAGGCCUCUGAAUCCUCAGUCCAGGGAAGCUAAACCAUUCUAGCCUUCAUCGGUUCUGGGAAAGCAAUCUUCAGAGUGGGAAAAGACAUUGAAAAAUAAUAUUCUGUGAGUUGCAUUCUACCCUUGCCCAGAGAUGAGAAACAUCUGAAGGUGGAGGAAAACAGUUGGAGGGUUCACUUGGUGAUAAUAAUCAUAACCAAAGCAACAGCAAACCCUUACAGAACUCUGUCCUGCUGUUCCAGGAACGCUGUGUUCAUGACAACCCAAUGAGUUGGCACCACUAUGAGUUCCACUUUAAAGUGCCUGCCACCCUGGCCUCCCUGCUCAUCUGCCUCAGUCAGGAGCACCUGGACCACCAGCUCUGUAUUGCCUCGCCUCCUACCAUCAAGACGUCAAAGUUCAUUCUCCUUCCACCACCCAGUAUGGUCAUUGUAGGGUCUUCUUCUCUGUCAGCCUGAGCCAGCCACCCCCCAUUCACCCUACCCCCGGGCUCAUACCCGGGCGUGUCUCCACCCAAGGUCCAGCCUCUCUCCUUUAAGUGCCCACCUCUAGCCGUCCAGCUUCUUCUCCACCAGCCUCCCUGGCCCUCCUUCACCCUCACUGGGGCAUCAUGCGCUGACUCCUCUGCUUUCCUGCCUGUCCACGUUCCUCUUACUUCCACUUCCCCACCUUCCAGCUCUGCAUCCACAGCCAGCACUCUCUUUAUGACAGACAAAACCCCCUUGAGCCUUGACCUUUUCAGUUCCUCACCAGGCCGACUUCCAUCUCGGUUCACCCAGCUCUACUUGUUCUGAGCCUGCAGGCAGCAGGCUCUCCCAGCACAGAUUUCCAAGACUACAAAUCAAUGCCCACCAUGUUGCCGCUGCCAGGCAAUCCUCCAGGAUUUCUCUAGUGAGCACAUUUCCCCACUUAUCACUCAGUGGUGUCAACAUUCUCUGCUCUCUGCACACCUCUAACCUUCCCUCUGUCUCUUCCCUGACUCCCAGCAGAUGGCCUUGCCUCCUGCUUCAGAGAGAAUGACAUGUCACUGGAAAGGAACUCGCUCACCUGCAGCAAACCUGCUCACCUCACCUUUUAUCUGUCCCUCUCCCACCUGGACUCUAGCUGUAGUUGUUCUUAAUUCAGUGAGUUUAGUUGACAUAUAUAUACACAGUUAAAAGCAUAGCACACUAUCGGCUACCUUCUAGGGGUUACUUUUUCAAUUUAACAUGGAGUGUGUGAUUCAUCCACUUCAUUGCAUGUACCUGCAGUUCAUUUGUUUUAACUGAUCUUAAAUGUUGUGUGUGUGAAAGUAACACAAGGCAAGGGUAAGCCAGGAUUCAGGAUGCUGGUUACUUCCUGUGAGAAAAGGCCAAGAGCAGGAUAGGGAAAGAGGACACAGUAUGUCACUGUCAAUAUUCCUGUUAUGAUGCUGGGUGAUAGGUUCAUAACUGUGUCUUAUAAUAUUAAUUUUAAUACAUAAAUACCUCUGACAGGCACCUAAGAUGAGAAUGUGUCAUGAACCAAGACAUACAAUGGGUAAUAUUACAUCAUUAUUGUUAUGUAAUCUUGUUAUAUUAUAUAUUAAUCAUAAUCUUACAUUAUUUGUUAUGGGUUAUAUAUUAUAUAGAUGCAUGAAUUAUAUAUUAUGUGUAUAAACACCUACAUAUGUAUUAUAUACUAUCUGCUAAUAAAUAAACAGAAGAUAAUAUGCUAGUAUAUCUUCUAUUAUGUAUUAUUUAAUAAAUAAUAACAUACUCUAUCCUGUUAUAUGACAUGGAACAUAAUCUUUAAUAAAAUAAGAAAUCUGUCAAUAUA